Etheostoma cragini (Arkansas darter) is the source of this 675-nucleotide long non-coding RNA. RefSeq lists it as uncharacterized. Lineage: Eukaryota; Metazoa; Chordata; Actinopteri; Perciformes; Percidae. The transcript has 3 exons. The record is from RefSeq and is a predicted model, not a curated record.
CACACCAACCCGAUAACUGGCCCUUGGACAGUUUGGCGAGGUCGGUGACUCAAGUCUGUUUGGUGUGCUCCAAGCCAUCGGUUUUAAUUUGGGGACGAUUUGACUUGCUGAAUCGGCCAGUGGGCAGUCGGACCAAUCAGUGACCAAUCUGAUUGGUGAAGUGCUAGCCCUUGACUAGCGAAUCAGUGCACUUAUGUUAAAACACUUACUGGAAAUGACGAGUGGGAUGAGCGUGACACACGCCUCUUAAAAUUUGAAAAAAAUCUUUGAAACUGACCUUUCUUGAUCCAAAAAACAGAAGGAGCAACUGUAUGGCUAUUUUGCGCUGGAAAUGUUUUCGGAAACACGUUUUGGUGAACAAUUUUUGUAAAAUAUGACAUCGUAUUCGAACGAGCCACUGUUAUGGUCGGCUUUGAAAUUCGGGAGAAGCCCGACCAACGUGACACGUUUGUCAUUUUUGGUUUUCAUUGUUUGGGCGACGAUACAGAUUAGCGCCGCCUGCUGUCAUGGAGACGUAUUAUGUCUUGCCCACGCACAGAACGUACGCUCAAGUAGGCGUCGCUUCGGUGUGUUCCAAGGCACUUUUUAGGACCAAUGGGAGCCAAAUGAUCAGCACGACGGCCUUUUCUGCCGACGCUCGGCCGUCCGGUUGGUGUGUCUGAGCACGGGUAUGAG